Molecule: long non-coding RNA, 1309 nt
Filed under: Phascolarctos cinereus (koala)
Lineage: Eukaryota; Metazoa; Chordata; Mammalia; Diprotodontia; Phascolarctidae
Description: lncRNA (ENSPCIG00000013579.2)
Source: RNAcentral
AGGGGACCCGAGUUGCGUGCCUUGCUGAUCCCAAGGUCUGCUGGUUUUGGCUCUGGCCCAUUCUUGCUCUUCCCUGUUCUGCUUCUCAGAUUCGGUUUGCUCUCACCACUUUUACUGUGCUUUGCACCAUCCUGCCUGUACUUUUGGGUAAGCAGGGAGGGCGUCUAGAUCAUUUGGAUGCUUGUUACCAUUGAUUCUCUGUGAAGUCCUCCUUUUCCUUCUCUGUUUACCUGCCUGGCUGCCCAGGUCGCUCUGCAGAGGCUCUUUCCAGGUGGAAAGUCUCAGGGACUUUGGGAACGCCUUCCCAUUCACAGGAAUUAAAUCCCCGUGAUAAUGUCUCUAGAGGUGGGGCAAUAUGUGCUGAGACAAAGCCUGUAUAUAUUUUCCUUGUUUUGUAGGUGAACCUGAGACAGAGAGAGAGAGAAAGAGGCUGAUCUGCCCAAAGUCCCUUAGCUAGUAAGUGGAUGAGCUGGAGCCCGAACCCAAAUCUUUUGCCUCUCAAUCCAGUGUCCUUUCUAUGACAUGUAGGCAUUUUAACGGUAAGAUUUGGAACCAUACAGACAUUUAGCAAAAGCUGAUUUUAAAAAUUGCUUUAGAGGGGCAGCUAGGUGGCGCAGUGGAUAGAGCACCGGCCCUGGAGUCAAGAGGACCUGAGUUCAAAUCUGGCCUCAGACCAAACACUUGACACUUACUAGCUGUGUGACCCUGGGCAAGUCACUUAACCCCAUUGCCUACCCCCCCCCCCAAAAAGAGCUAAAAAUUGCUUUAGAAUGUGACCUUCUGGAGUUUAUGUUCCUCAAUGAAGUUUAUCCUGUUGAUAACUUAGACUUCAGCUCACGGAAAAGGAGAAGAAGUGAACGGGCAAGUUGAUUCACUUCAGCCAACUGCUAUCCUUCCUGAAUACAGGCAGCAAAGGAACAAGGAUGACCAGAAGGGUGGAGAAUCCACCUAAGCAGCAUCUCAGAUCAGCUCCAUCUUCAGAGGAGAGCCAAGGGAGUCAUUAGGAAAGCGGAACCUUGGCUGUGGCUCACCGUGGCAGCCCCGACUGGAAGGAACAUCCCCAGCAGACUGAAAAGUGAUUCAGAAGAGUGGUGGUCUUGUCAACGUGAGUGGGCUUUAAGGCCCCCAGUCUCAGCUUUCAUAGCCAUAAAAGUAAAUUUGAGGCUGGAGUAGAGGAGGCUGGAGAGAGAAUGAGACAGCUAUACCAGCCCAUUUCAAAGGGACAGGGUCAUGAAAAAAGUAAAUUGAAUUGUGCCUUGUCAGAGCCAGAGUGGAUGCUCAAUAAAUUCCUGAUUUCAGUAUAGAAGCA